ACGAACGCUGGCGGCGUGCUUAACCCAUGCAAGUCGCACGGAAAGGCCCUGCUUUUGUGGGGUGCUCGAGUGGCGAACGGGUGAGUAACACGUGAGUAACCUGCCCUUGACUUUGGGAUAACUUCAGGAAACUGGGGCUAAUACCGGAUAGGAGCUCCUGCUGCAUGGUGGGGGUUGGAAAGUUUCGGCGGUUGGGGAUGGACUCGCGGCUUAUCAGCUUGUUGGUGGGGUAGUGGCUUACCAAGGCUUUGACGGGUAGCCGGCGUGAGAGGGUGACCGGCCACAUUGGGACUGAGAUACGGCCCAGACUCCUACGGGAGGCAGCAGUGGGGAAUAUUGCACAAUGGGCGGAAGCCUGAUGCAGCAACGCCGCGUGCGGGAUGACGGCCUUCGGGUUGUAAACCGCUUUCGCCUGUGACGAAGCGUGAGUGACGGUAAUGGGUAAAGAAGCACCGGCUAACUACGUG
RNAcentral lists this ribosomal RNA (467 nucleotides) under uncultured bacterium. Its description in RNAcentral is "partial 16S ribosomal RNA". It matches the Rfam family "Bacterial small subunit ribosomal RNA", at positions 29 to 507 of the family's 1533-position model. The record is from RNAcentral.